This 433-nucleotide ribosomal RNA is filed under the name uncultured bacterium. Its description in RNAcentral is "partial 16S ribosomal RNA". It matches the Rfam family "Bacterial small subunit ribosomal RNA", at positions 29 to 507 of the family's 1533-position model. The record is from RNAcentral.
AGCGAACGCUGGCGGCAGGCUUAACACAUGCCAGUCGAGCGGGCACUUCGGUGUCAGCGGCAGACGGGUGAGUAACACGUGGGAACGUACCCUUCGGUUCGGAAUAACGCUGGGAAACUAGCGCUAAUACCGGAUACGCCCUUUUGGGGAAAGGUUUACUGCCGAAGGAUCGGCCCGCGUCUGAUUAGCUGGUUGGUGGGGUAAUGGCCUACCAAGGCGACGAUCAGUAGCUGGUCUGAGAGGAUGAUCAGCCACACUGGGACUGAGACACGGCCCAGACUCCUACGGGAGGCAGCAGUGGGGAAUAUUGGACAAUGGGCGCAAGCCUGAUCCAGCCAUGCCGCGUGAGUGAUGAAGGCCUUAGGGUUGUAAAGCUCUUUUGUCCGGGACGAUAAUGACGGUACCGGAAGAAUAAGCCCCGGCUAACUUCGUG